AGAAUAACCCCACUGAACAGGUGGUCACUACGUCAGCCAUUGCGAAUCAAUGAGCACCAUCCGAAAGUCAGUAUUUAUAGUAAUUUGCCCAAGGACUGGACUCUCUGAUUCCAUCCAAAGACAGCAUGCAAAGCAAAUUAACAAUGUGAUUUUUUUUUUUUAAAGGGAUACAGCCUACUCUGAAGUGAACCAGUAGUUUCUGAGCCCAUUUCUGGCCAAUCGAGUGACAUGUUAUUUACAAGUCUUUCUUAUACAUUCCUUCCAGCAGGACACCUCCUGCCAGCCCAAUUCCGGUUUUCCUACAUAGUUAGAAGCAAUAGCAGAGCUCUUUCAUACGAUGUUCCGGAAUGUUCUCAGGAACAAACUGGCCUUCUCAACUAUGAGGUCUGGAGCCAGGUUUAUGAACACUAGCGGUUAGAUCGCACUGGGAGGUUCUGGCCACCUAGCUGUGGUCACGCUCAGUCACACUUGGAAGGAAGGCCAGGAAGAGAGGCAGCCAGGCUCCCGCUGAGAAGGAAACUGCCUCACCCACAGGGGUCUGUGGAGGACGCUCCUGGUGGCUGGGGGACUGGCCUCCUCACCUCCAUGUUCAGAGCCCCACCUCCUCCUGGGCUCUGUGACAGGGUCCCAGGACACUGAACACAGACUCUACUUAGACCAAGAGUCAGCGAGACCUGGGGGCUCCCCAGAGCCUCAAAACCACCCUGGGGCUGACUGUGAGGUCGGGAGCCAGGUCAGAGGCUGGGACCCUUGAAGCCAAGCAAGCAGUUAGCCUCAGAUGGAAAUGAAGCUCAGAUGCCCCGCCCCCCGAGCCCCGAGGCAUGGUGGGAUGUUCUGAGCUUUGAGAAUUCUGCUCCCAGAUCCCAUGUGUCCUUGGACAGCGUUCGUUUCCACCCAAUCCUUCUCCUGCUUCAUCUCGCUCCAUGUUCUCAGCAAUCCCAUCCAUCUGCUCACCAGGGCCGCAGAGGGCCAGCUGUGGGCUGGGCGCUGUGCCCAGUGCUGGGAUCCAACAGAGAACAAAACAGACAUGGUUCCUGCCUCGGGGAGCCCGUGUUCCAGUGGGAGAAGACACGAAGGAAUGAGCAAACAGUCAGACACAAAUUAAUGUGCAUGGGAUAAAGAGUACACGUGGAACGUCAAUGAAAUUGGGAGAUAUACGAGGUUUCUAUAUUACAUCCAUUGUAUAAUAAGGAAACUGCAGCUCAGAGGGGCUAAGCAACUUAUCUGAGGUCACACAGCAACUGAGUGACAGAGCUGGGAUUUGAACCGAAGUCUUCUGUUUGUUGUUGUUGGCUUUUUUUCCCCACCAUUCCCUCUCCCAGUAGAAGAAAAACUAUUUCCUCUCUCCAUGGGGUCUUGUGGGGAUUCAGCACACAGGCGCUGGCACCCACUGAGUGUUCGGUACGUGCGCUCAUUAUUAUUUCCAUCGGGAGGAAGAGCUGAGAAAAGCACAGCACAGCCCCUUACUGUAGCCUCCUGUACAGCCUUUAGAAUGAUGCGUAUUCAUGACAUGGAAAAAUGCUCAGGGAUGUAACGUUCAGAAAAACGGGUGCAGCAUCAUCCCUGUAGGGUAAUCUCCACUCUCAAAAUGUAACCAGUUAAUGGAAGUCACCCAGCAGCAUAGGAACAGGGUGGAAUCCUGGCCGACUGUCGUUUGCUUCCUUAUGCUUGUCCUAUAGGGAGAAAUGCCUCUAAAGGACAAGGACCAUUAUUUAUGAUCUUAAGAACGGAAGGCAGAACUAAGCUUCCCCACAGAUCAUGUACACACAGGUAACGCAGCACGGUGGGUCCAAUCCCCGCUGCUCCCCAGCCCCCUGGAAGUGCCUCUUUUCAGGGCGCCGAUCCAGUGUGAGGUGACUAUUUGCACCUCGCUCCCCAUUUGUGGAGUGACUGAGUGAGGGAGCUUGCUGGGCCUCUGGAGUUCCCGGCUUACACUCACUCAUUAUAUACGGCACUUGGCCCUGUGUGUGCUGUCCUCGCCAUUUCGAAUCUACAUCCUGUCUCUCGGAAGGCAGGGAUGAACUCUCACCCAUUUUAAGUUCCCUGUGACCCUAGCCUAGUGCCCAGAACAGGCUGUUUUUCUAUGUUUUAAAUGCCAAGUCUACUGGUAGACUCCUAUUCAUCCCGCAGGACCCUGUGUGAAUGCCCCUUCAGUUCUGAAGCUUCUCUGGCUGGUCCUUCUAUCCUCCCUACAACACUAUACAAUGGCUAACAUCUACUGGUCACUUGCUGUGGGCUGGGUGCUGUGUUUGCUCCUUCCGACCUCACAAUCCCAUCAGUGGGUAUGGUUACUCUCUCGAUGUGAUCCGUGAGGUUUAGACAGGGAAAGUGACUUGCCCAAGGCCAUACUGCUCACAAUGAGCAGAGCAGUGUGAUUCAGAAGUCACCUUCCCAACCGCCAAUACCUCAUUCGUACCUCCACUAGCGCAUAGAUGCCAGCGUGCUGGGGCCUGUUUGUGAGUACCCAUGCUUCCCAGACAAGCCUGUGAAGUCCUCCGGAGAAUCCUACCCACCUCACCUCAGCACCCAGCAUGGGCCAGACACAGGAGAGCCCAACGAACGUGGUCACAUGGCACUGUGACCCCAGGAGGCCUCUAGACAAAUCUGCAGACCAGAGAUCAGGCUCUUCUCCGCCCAGCCUUGCCUCCCUCGCCCAGGGGCUCUCGCUAAUGCCUGGACUUGGUGGUGUUCACUGCUGGAGUUCAGCUGCAGAGCACAGUCCUACCAGUGACAUGAGCCGGGUGGUCUCUGGGCGGGUCCCAGGAGGAGCAUCUGUUUAUAAUUGGCAGCCCUGGAAGAUCCAAGUCCCUGGGUAGGUCUGGCAGGCCAGCUCAUGUCCCAGGGGCCCCGUGUUCUGGACCAGCGCGGUGCUGAGCUGGCUUCUCCAAAGGAAAGAAAAUACCCACCAGAGACCCCAAACCACGCGCAGGGUGGGCGGGGGCUGGGAAGGUCCCAAUUUGGAGGGUGCACAGCUCUCCACCCAGCACCUCCAGUUAGAGGAUGUUAAUAAAAAUCCAUCCUUGUGGCCAGAUGAGAACAGGCAAGCAACAAAAUUGAGUGUGUAACCCUCCAGAUUUAGAGCAGGGGUGGUGCCAACGAGAACUGGGUGAGUGGGUGUGCGUGUGUGGGCAGGUGAUACUGGAAACAUGGACACACACUCUUCAUAGGUACGUGCGUCCUGUCGGUUAAAUCUUGAGCUCUCUCCUUUUUCCCACCCCUGUCCGUGUCCAAAAAGAGACCCCCCUCUCUCGAGUAGAAUGGCCUAGAACGCAGGCUCAGGAGCUGAACUGCCUGAGCUCAAUGUGUUACACGAACUUGGAAAACCCACUUAACCGCUCUAUAAAUUAAGGUUAUUAAAGCACCCACUUUGAAGGGUGGUUUGGAGGAUGAAGAAAGAACACAAUAAACGCUAA
Long non-coding RNA from Hipposideros armiger (great roundleaf bat), 3413 nucleotides. RefSeq lists it as uncharacterized. The record is from RefSeq and is a predicted model, not a curated record. The transcript is spliced from 4 exons. NCBI's taxonomy places the organism in Eukaryota, Metazoa, Chordata, Mammalia, Chiroptera, Hipposideridae.